This 437-nucleotide ribosomal RNA is filed under the name Aleiodes (Arcaleiodes) sp. 1 DLJQ-2021a. RNAcentral's name for it is "partial 28S ribosomal RNA". Lineage: Eukaryota; Metazoa; Arthropoda; Insecta; Hymenoptera; Braconidae. The record is from RNAcentral.
CCCAAAAGAUCGAAUGGGGAGAUUCAUCGUCAGCUCAUUUUGUAUAUAUAUAAGUUAUGAUGCGGGUUACUACUUGUAGUAUUGCCUGCACAUUCUUGUAUAUUUAGUUGCAAGAUGUUGUCGGCGUGCACUUCUCCUCUAGUAGGACGUCGCGACCCGUUGGGUGUCGGUUUACGGCCCAAGUGAUAGCCUUUAAUGUAAUUAAAAAAACAUUGAAGAUCCUUGGUGUUUUCUAACCGGCUACUCGGCGGUAUUCGUACGGUAUUUAGCCGCUAAUUUUAUUAGCGUUCAUGUCCGUCACAAGCGAGGCCAAUUUUUACUGAUAGUACGGACCUAGUGCCGUCGUUGGUAUUGGCCAGCUGUUGGUUGUAUGGUAUUCUAGAACUGGCUAAAAUUAAUUACCGGUCGGCGAUGCUACUGCUUUGGGUACUUUCAGG